This is a long non-coding RNA of Columba livia (rock pigeon), 1691 nucleotides long. RefSeq lists it as uncharacterized. NCBI's taxonomy places the organism in Eukaryota, Metazoa, Chordata, Aves, Columbiformes, Columbidae. The transcript has 3 exons. The record is from RefSeq and is a predicted model, not a curated record.
AGAUAAAUAAAGAAGAUAUUAGACAGUGGUAGGAACUUCCACGACUUCCAGAGAGACUUCAGAAGAAAGAAUUCAAGCAUUUGUGCUUUGGAACAGAGAUUUCUUCUCAUGGCACCCAAAUUUAAGCAGCAGCUUUGCAGAACUGCAGGUAGCUGAGUCAUGCCAGAGGAUGCGGAGGCUUGGUGUAGAAGUAGGUUUGUUUUUAAGGAAAAUAAGCAUUGGGAGUAUUUUUAGCAGGAUUAUGGAACAACUGGUGUAUGAGCAGGGAAGAUGAUGUAAGCUGGGGUGUAAAAACCCAGAGUGACUCUUUAUUGUCAGUCUUCUUGAUAGUGUGAUCAGCUCCUGGUGUUCGCAGUCGUUAAGCGGUCUGCCGUUCUUGAAAUAGUGCAGUUUUGUUAAGGCUGUUUUCUGUUAUCUGCCUUGGCUUGACUCUUGAUAAGAUAUAUCUGGGCAUUUGUUACUUUUGUUUGUUUUCCCUUGAAGAGUGAGGGAGUGACCCUGAAGCUAGAAACUGCCUCUUCAGACUGAAAGCUGGAUGCAAGACUGAAUUGUUAUAAAGAAUGUGCAUUCCUCAGGUCUGAGCAGCUACAUUUGCUGCGAAUGCCCCAGUCCACUUGUGAUUAUGGUAUUCAGACCAAGCAGAGCCAUUCUCCAUGUUCACAGGAGCCACUACCUGCUUGUGUGAAGGACUGAGCGACUGAAUAGAGGACAACACAAAGCAGUUUAGAAAUAUCACAUUGUCUUCUGUGACGUUUUGUUGGAAAUCUCCCUCCCACUCCAAAAAAAAACCCAAAAAAACCCACAAAAAAACCCAAUGAGUAAACAGAGUAAAAAAUCUGCAGCUUAUCACUUUUUUAAUAGGUAAAUAUCUUGCCCUCUGGGAGAUGAAUAGAUUGUGACAGUGAGAAGAACUAUGCUUUGCCAAAUCCUCAUCUGAACAUUGUAUUGCAAAGCCUUAUGUUGUCUUCCAAAAUUACCACCUUUAAAGUCAGAGUUAGUAGCAGUCAGUUUAAAGUCAUGACCGCUUCUGGGCUAGAGUUUUCUUGUGUUCGCUACAGAGGAGACAGGGCUGCAAACAGCUGGACUUGUGCUUAUCUGAUAUUCCUCUCCCCACUCCAGGGUACAGUGGGAUAUCUCCAGGCUUUGCAGUUGUAGGCUGUGAGCCUCUAGGGUGCCGUGUGAGGCAAGACUGGUCCAAAUCUUUCUUGGGAAAGACUGUUGUUUACAUUAAGUUUGCUGAACCCUUCUUGCAAUAUAUGCCCAGGUGUAGGAGGAAGGGGAUGACUUGCUGGGGUAUGGAAAGGAGGAUGGUGAAGGGACCGGAGCAUCUGGCAUGACCACAGAUGAGGCUGCGCUCCCUGGGGGAGCAAGUUGUCCUGUUCCAUUCAGGCCCAUGAAACCUGCUCUAAACAGGACUGUCUCAGGCACCAAGUGGCAUCAAGGGAAAAUGAAAACAUCAGAUCCUGCUGUAAAUAUAAUGAGAUAAAGGUCGUCCAGCUUUGGCUUAUAUGUAAUUCUCCAUGUAACUAUGAACAUUACCUUGUGUUCACUGCAUUGUUCAUAUCAGUUUCCAGACAAGCUUUCAGCCCAUCACCUUUCUCAUGUGAGCCCUUCCUUAUCACAGUAUCACAGUAUGUUUGGGAUUGGAAGGGACCUCAAAAGAUCAUCUAGUCCAAUCCCCCUGCUGGAGC